CCUACGGGUGGCAGCAGUGGGGAAUAUUGCACAAUGGGCGCAAGCCUGAUGCAGCCAUGCCGCGUGUGUGAAAAAGGCCUUCGGGUUGUAAAGCACUUUCAGCGGGGAGGAAGGCGUUAAGGUUAAUAACCUUGUCGAUUGACGUUACCCGCAGAAGAAGCACCGGCUAACUCCGUGCCAGCAGCCGCGGUAAUACGGAGGGUGCAAGCGUUAAUCGGAAUUACUGGGCGUAAAGCGCACGCAGGCGGUCUGUCAAGUCGGAUGUGAAAUCCCCGGGCUCAACCUGGGAACUGCAUUCGAAACUGGCAGGCUAGAGUCUUGUAGAGGGGGGUAGAAUUCCAGGUGUAGCGGUGAAAUGCGUAGAGAUCUGGAGGAAUACCGGUGGCGAAGGCGGCCACCUGGACAAAGACUGACGCUCAGGUGCGAAAGCGUGGGGAGCAAACAGGAUUAGAUACCCCUGUAGUC
RNAcentral lists this ribosomal RNA (465 nucleotides) under uncultured Klebsiella sp. Its description in RNAcentral is "bacterial SSU rRNA". It matches the Rfam family "Bacterial small subunit ribosomal RNA", at positions 338 to 795 of the family's 1533-position model. The record is from RNAcentral. Lineage: Bacteria; Pseudomonadati; Pseudomonadota; Gammaproteobacteria; Enterobacterales; Enterobacteriaceae.